GGAGUGCUCCCAGGAGCAGCAGGGGCAGUGUAGCUAUCCGAUUGUGGGACAGACUGGUCGUAGCUCGGUUGCGUUGGUGCUGGAGUUGCUGUUGGUUGAGUGUAAACCUGUUGUUGUCCAGCAGCAGGUUAUGCACCGUACGUUGAUACAGCAGUUGGUUGUGCACAGUACGUUGAUCCAGCAGCAGGUUGUGCAUAAGAAGGAUCUUGUGCUUGAUAACCAUAACCAGCAACAUUCGGAGUGACCUGAUCUGGAUACCCUUGCGAAACCGGGUGUGAUCCGUAGGAAGCUGCAGCAGUACCUUGUGCAUAGCCAGCCUGCUGAGGAUUCCCUUGUUGAGCUGCUGUUGCUGUCCGGCAGUUUGGCCGUAGGCCUGUGGAGG
Molecule: long non-coding RNA, 382 nt
Filed under: Linum usitatissimum (flax)
Lineage: Eukaryota; Viridiplantae; Streptophyta; Magnoliopsida; Malpighiales; Linaceae
Description: long non-coding RNA (LUSI_LNC001363)
Source: RNAcentral